RNAcentral lists this ribosomal RNA (249 nucleotides) under Notemigonus crysoleucas (golden shiner). RNAcentral's name for it is "partial 12S ribosomal RNA". Lineage: Eukaryota; Metazoa; Chordata; Actinopteri; Cypriniformes; Leuciscidae. The record is from RNAcentral.
AGAGGCCCCAGUUAAUAAUACACGGCGUAAAGGGUGGUUAAGGAAAGCAUGGUAAUAAAGCCGAAUGGCCCUUUGGCUGUCAUACGCUUCUAGGUGUCCGAAGCCCAACAUACGAAAGUAACUUUAGUAAAACCCACCUGACCCCACGAAAGCUGAGAAACAAACUGGGAUUAGAUACCCCACUAUGCUCAGCCGUAAACCCAGACGUCCAGCUACAAUUAGACGUCCGCCCGGGUACUACGAGCAUUA